CCGUAAUAGUCGUACCGACGGCGGUAACCGACGAAAACGCCCGCGGGAUUAUUUUAGCGGAUGGGUAACUACACCGGUUACCGACGGAUCGCGUUGAAUCGAAUCCAAUACGGUAUAACAUCGUCGAUUGUAAUAUUAUUAUAAACGUACGAUUGGGGCUGUACACUGUGCGACACCAAUAUUGUGUGUUCCAAAACGAAAAUGAUGCGGGAAAAAAACGAAUCGCGGAUUAAUAACCGCAUGGCGCGCGUGAAUAUUAAAUGUUGUUUUGUUAACGUUCUAAUUGUCACGUCCGUACGAUGCGAAUACAUUUUAUGUUUCCGAAUUUCGGGUGUUUUUUUU
Non-coding RNA from Cinara cedri, 342 nucleotides. The record is from the annotation of a GenBank genome assembly. Lineage: Eukaryota; Metazoa; Arthropoda; Insecta; Hemiptera; Aphididae.